AGUGAACGCUGGCGGUAGGCCUAACACAUGCAAGUCGAACGGCAGCACAGUAAGAGCUUGCUCUUACGGGUGGCGAGUGGCGGACGGGUGAGGAAUACAUCGGAAUCUACUUUUUCGUGGGGGAUAACGUAGGGAAACUUACGCUAAUACCGCAUACGACCUACGGGUGAAAGCAGGGGAUCUUCGGACCUUGCGCGAUUGAAUGAGCCGAUGUCGGAUUAGCUAGUUGGCGGGGUAAAGGCCCACCAAGGCGACGAUCCGUAGCUGGUCUGAGAGGGUGGUCAGCCACACUGGAACUGAGACACGGUCCAGACUCCUACGGGAGGCAGCAGUGGGGAAUAUUGGACAAUGGGCGCAAGCCUGAUCCAGCCAUACCGCGUGAGUGAAGAAGGCCUUCGGGUUGUAAAGCCCUUUUGUUGGGAAAGAAAAGCAGCAGGUUAAUACCCCGCUGUUCUGACGGUACCCAAAGAAUAAGCACCGGCUAACUUCGUG
This 492-nucleotide ribosomal RNA is filed under the name uncultured bacterium. Its description in RNAcentral is "partial 16S ribosomal RNA". It matches the Rfam family "Bacterial small subunit ribosomal RNA", at positions 29 to 507 of the family's 1533-position model. The record is from RNAcentral.